AUACGGAGGAUCCGAGCGUUAUCCGGAUUUAUUGGGUUUAAAGGGUGCGCAGGCGGCCGUCCAAGUCCGGUGUUAAAUGUUCGGGCUCAACCCGAUCAUGCGCUGGAAACUGGGCGGCUUGAGUCCCGUAGGGGAUGCCGGAAUUCCAGGUGUAGGGGUGAAAUCUGUAGAUAUCUGGAAGAACACCGAUGGCGAAGGCAGGCAUCUGGCCGGAGACUGACGCUGAGGCGCGAAGGCGCGGGGAGCGAACAGGUUUAGAUACCCUGGUAGUCCGCGCAGUAAACGAUGCGCACCAGGUGUCGGGCGGCAGCGCCCGGUACCGGAGCUAACGCGAUGAGUGCGCCGCCUGGGGAGUAUGCCCGCAAGGGUGAAACUCAAAUGAAUUGUCGGGG
This 392-nucleotide ribosomal RNA is filed under the name uncultured bacterium. RNAcentral describes it as "partial 16S ribosomal RNA". It matches the Rfam family "Bacterial small subunit ribosomal RNA", at positions 523 to 918 of the family's 1533-position model. The record is from RNAcentral.